Molecule: ribosomal RNA, 230 nt
Filed under: uncultured bacterium
Lineage: Bacteria
Description: partial 16S ribosomal RNA
Rfam family: Bacterial small subunit ribosomal RNA
Source: RNAcentral
UGAACAACCUGCCCGAGCGAGGGGGAUAGCCGGCCCAACGGUCGGGUAAUACCGCGUACGACCACAUGGGGACAUCCCUGAGUGGUGAAAGCAGCAAUGCGCCGAUGGAGUGCCUCGCGGCCUAUCAGCUAGUUGGUGAGGUAACGGCUCACCAAGGCGACGACGGGUAGCUGGUCUGAGAGGAUGGCCAGCCACAUUGGGACUGAGACACGGCCCAGACCUCUACGGGA